Molecule: ribosomal RNA, 358 nt
Filed under: uncultured bacterium
Lineage: Bacteria
Description: bacterial SSU rRNA
Rfam family: Bacterial small subunit ribosomal RNA
Source: RNAcentral
AGAGUUUGAUCAUGGCUCAGGAUGAACGCUAGCUACAGGCUUAACACAUGCAAGUCGAGGGGCAGCAGUGGUCUUAGCUUGCUAAGGCCGUAUGGCGACCGGCGCACGGGUGAGUAACACGUAUCCAACCUGCCGUCUACUCUUGGACAGCCUUCUGAAAAGGAAGAUUAAUACAAGAUGGCAUCAUGAGUCCGCAUGUUCACAUGAUUAAAGGUAUUCCGGUAGACGAGUGGGGAUGCGUUCCAUUAGAUAGUAGGCGGGGUAACGGCCCACCUAGUCUUCGAUGGAUAGGGGUUCUGAGAGGAAGGUCCCCCACAUUGGAACUGAGACACGGUCCAAACUCCUACGGGAGGCAGCA